UGUGUGAAACUAGAUAUUCAUUUAUUUUUUAAGAAACUACAUAAUUUAACAAUGAAGUGUAGAUAAUCACUACAACAAAGUGAAGUAAUUGUCACUUAAGGUUCUUAUUUUAAUACUUUUCCAUAAAACUUGUGUAGAAUUUGGAAAUAUCUUGUCUUGAAAAGAAUUUGGAUAUGAGACUCGGUGUAGUCACCAAAGAAACUAAACCUGGUCUAACUGGUUGUUGAGAUCAUCUGCACUUUGGUCAGGAAAUUAUCUCCUAAUCCUAAUAGUGCUGCUAUAAUGGCCAUGGGUGUUAACAUCUUGGGUUCAUGGGAGGAGCUGCCAUUGUUGGGUUCAUGGGAGGAGCUGUCAUUACAAUUGCCCUUCAGCAGCUCAAAGGAUUGCUUGGCAUAAAAAAGAAUUUCACAAAGAAGAAUCUCUGUUUUGCGCUCAGUGUUUAAUUCAACCCACCAUGUUGUAAUAUGAUUUCUUAAGCCUAGACUAGUAGACUAAAUAUUGUAAUUACAUUUGAGUAAUUAAUAAAAAUCUAUUUAUGUUACCUUA
Molecule: long non-coding RNA, 546 nt
Organism: Humulus lupulus (European hop)
Lineage: Eukaryota; Viridiplantae; Streptophyta; Magnoliopsida; Rosales; Cannabaceae
Exons: 2
Source: RefSeq, a predicted model, not a curated record